UCGGAGGGGCGAGGGCUGGCUGAGUCACCCCGCAACACGGCGCAGUGAGUCCGUGCCGCCGGCAGCGAUAAGAGGUGAUGUCACUUGGGCCAGGAAUGUCGCAAGACUGAUUAAGUGGUCAACUUGGAGAGAGCGUGAGGAAGUGUGAAAAUCUGUGUGACCUUGUGCCCAGCAGCGAGAUGCCGAAGGGUGCCCAAAUACUGCAGGAGUGUUUGCUCCAGCACAGCAGGUCUAAGACUGGUGAAAGUUUUGGAGAUAAACCCAACAACGGGCAGCAACUGCAGCUUGUUCUUGAAGUUGACUGGCAUUGACCUCACAGUGCAGACUUCAUCGAGAUCCAUACAGGAAAUAGAAAUCUCAUUGUUUACAGUA
This is a long non-coding RNA of Coturnix japonica (Japanese quail), 372 nucleotides long. RefSeq lists it as uncharacterized. The record is from RefSeq and is a predicted model, not a curated record. Lineage: Eukaryota; Metazoa; Chordata; Aves; Galliformes; Phasianidae.